CAGAGGAUAGUUUAAAAGAAAAUUUUAAAUUUGGGUUUUAAAGAGGGAAUAUUUUCCUCCUCUGA
This 65-nucleotide transfer RNA is filed under the name Criotettix japonicus. RNAcentral's name for it is "tRNA-Pro". Lineage: Eukaryota; Metazoa; Arthropoda; Insecta; Orthoptera; Tetrigidae. The record is from RNAcentral.